RNAcentral lists this transfer RNA (72 nucleotides) under Camelus bactrianus (Bactrian camel). It matches the Rfam family "tRNA". Rfam says of the family: Transfer RNA (tRNA) molecules are approximately 80 nucleotides in length. Lineage: Eukaryota; Metazoa; Chordata; Mammalia; Artiodactyla; Camelidae. RNAcentral also lists the same sequence under 1 other name. The record is from Rfam by way of RNAcentral.
GAGGGUAUGGCUCAGUGGUAGAGUGCAUGCCUAGCAUGCAUGAGGUCCUAGGUUCAAUCCCUCGUACUUCCA